Molecule: ribosomal RNA, 424 nt
Filed under: uncultured bacterium
Lineage: Bacteria
Description: bacterial SSU rRNA
Rfam family: Bacterial small subunit ribosomal RNA
Source: RNAcentral
GAAUAUUGGACAAUGGGGGGAACCCUGAUCCAGCCAUGCCGCGUGUGUGAAGAAGGCCUUUUGGUUGUAAAGCACUUUAAGCGAGGAGGAGGCUACUCGAGUUAAUACCUAGAGAUAGUGGACGUUACUCGCAGACUAAGCACCGGCUAACCCUGUUCCAGCAGCCGCGGUAAUACAGAGGUUGCAAGCGUUAAUCAGAUUUACUGUGCGUAAAGCGCGCGUAGGUGGCCAAUUAAGUCAAAUGUGAAAUCCCCGAGCUUAACUUGGGAAUUGCAUUCGAUACUGGUUGGCUAGAGUAUGGGAGAGGAUGGUAGAAUUCCAGGUGUAGCGGUGAAAUGCGUAGAGAUCUGGAGGAAUACCGAUGGCGAAGGCAGCCAUCUGGCCUAGUACUGACACUGAGGUGCGAAAGCAUGGGGAGCAAACA